UUGGGUGUAGUGUAUGGUGCACAGCAACUUACUGUUAUUAAACCAGCUAGCCCUUAUUACGCUGCAGGUCGGGGUUCGACUCCCCGCGCCCGAA
Mycena leptocephala is the source of this 94-nucleotide non-coding RNA. Lineage: Eukaryota; Fungi; Basidiomycota; Agaricomycetes; Agaricales; Mycenaceae. The record is from the annotation of a GenBank genome assembly.